GUAGGGGGGGCGAGCGUUGUCCGGAUUUAUUGGGCGUAAAGAGCUCGUAGGCGGCUUGGCAAGUCGGCCGUGAAAGUCCGAGGCUCAACCUCGGAACGCCGGUCGAAACUGCCAUGGCUAGGGUCCGGUAGAGGAGAGUGGAAUUCCCGGUGUAGCGGUGAAAUGCGCAGAUAUCGGGAGGAACACCAGUAGCGAAGGCGGCUCUCUGGGCCGGUACCGACGCUGAGGAGCGAAAGCGUGGGGAGCAAACAGGAUUAGAUACCCUGGUAGUCCACGCCGUAAACGUUGGGCACUAGGUGUGGCGAGUUAUACCAACGCUUGCUGUGCCGUAGCUAACGCAUUAAGUGCCCCGCCUGGGGAGUACGGUCGCAAGGCUA
RNAcentral lists this ribosomal RNA (377 nucleotides) under uncultured organism. RNAcentral describes it as "partial 16S ribosomal RNA". It matches the Rfam family "Bacterial small subunit ribosomal RNA", at positions 525 to 896 of the family's 1533-position model. The record is from RNAcentral.